UUCGGUGAUGACGCUGGGAACGCGAGCGGCGGAUGGGUGAGUAACACGUGGGUAACCUGCCCUAAAGUCUGGGAUACCACUUGGAAACAGGUGCUAAUACCGGAUAACAACAAUAGCUGCAUGGCUAUUGCUUAAAAGGCGGCGAAAGCUGUCGCUAAAGGAUGGACCCGCGGUGCAUUAGCUAGUUGGUAAGGUAAUGGCUUACCAAGGCGACGAUGCAUAGCCGAGUUGAGAGACUGAUCGGCCACAUUGGGACUGAGACACGGCCCAAACUCCUACGGGAGGCAGCAGUAGGGAAUCUUCCACAAUGGGCGAAAGCCUGAUGGAGCAACGCCGCGUGAGUGAAGAAGGUUUUCGGAUCGUAAAGCUCUGUUGUUGGUGAAGAAGGAUAGAGGUAGUAACUGGCCCCUAUUUGACGGUAAUCAACCAGAAAGUCACGGCUAACUACGUGCCAGCAGCCGCGGUAAUACGUAGGUGGCAAGCGUUGUCCGGAUUUAUUGGGCGUAAAGCGAGCGCAGGCGGAAAGAUAAGUCUGAUGUGAAAGCCCCCGGCUUAACCGAGGAAUUGCAUCGGAAACUGUGUUUCUUGAGUGCAGAAGAGGAGAGUGGAACUCCAUGUGUAGCGGUGGAAUGCGUAGAUAUAUGGAAGAACACCAGUGGCGAAGGCGGCUCUCUGGUCUG
This 680-nucleotide ribosomal RNA is filed under the name uncultured bacterium. RNAcentral describes it as "bacterial SSU rRNA". It matches the Rfam family "Bacterial small subunit ribosomal RNA", at positions 72 to 736 of the family's 1533-position model. The record is from RNAcentral.